This 492-nucleotide ribosomal RNA is filed under the name uncultured bacterium. Its description in RNAcentral is "partial 16S ribosomal RNA". It matches the Rfam family "Bacterial small subunit ribosomal RNA", at positions 29 to 507 of the family's 1533-position model. The record is from RNAcentral.
AGUGAACGCUGGCGGUAGGCCUAACACAUGCAAGUCGAACGGCAGCACAGUAAGAGCUUGCUCUUACGGGUGGCGAGUGGCGGACGGGUGAGGAAUACAUCGGAAUCUACUUUUUCGUGGGGGAUAACGUAGGGAAACUUACGCUAAUACCGCAUACGACCUACGGGUGAAAGCAGGGGAUCUUCGGACCUUGCGCGAUUGAAUGAGCCGAUGUCGGAUUAGCUAGUUGGCGGGGUAAAGGCCCACCAAGGCGACGAUCCGUAGCUGGUCUGAGAGGAUGAUCAGCCACACUGGAACUGAGACACGGUCCAGACUCCUACGGGAGGCAGCAGUGGGGAAUAUUGGACAAUGGGCGCAAGCCUGAUCCAGCCAUACCGCGUGGGUGAAGAAGGCCUUCGGGCUGUAAAGCACUUUUGUUGGGAAAGAAAAGCAGCAGGUUAAUACCCCGCUGUUCUGACGGUACCCAAAGAAUAAGCACCGGCUAACUUCGUG